RNAcentral lists this ribosomal RNA (492 nucleotides) under uncultured bacterium. RNAcentral's name for it is "partial 16S ribosomal RNA". It matches the Rfam family "Bacterial small subunit ribosomal RNA", at positions 28 to 507 of the family's 1533-position model. The record is from RNAcentral.
GAUGAACGCUAGCUACAGGCUUAACACAUGCGAGUCGAGGGGAAACGGCAUUGAGUGCUUGCACUCUUUGGACGUCGACCGGCGCACGGGUGAGUAACGCGUAUCCAACCUUCCCAUUACUGUGGGAUAACCUGCCGAAAGGCAGACUAAUACCGCAUAGUCUUCGAUGACGGCAUCAGAUUUGAAGUAAAGAUUUAUCGGUGAUGGAUGGGGAUGCGUCUGAUUAGCUUGUUGGCGGGGUAACGGCCCACCAAGGCGACGAUCAGUAGGGGUUCUGAGAGGAAGGUCCCCCACAUUGGAACUGAGACACGGUCCAAACUCCUACGGGAGGCAGCAGUGAGGAAUAUUGGUCAAUGGACGGAAGUCUGAACCAGCCAAGUAGCGUGCAGGAUGACGGCCCUAUGGGUUGUAAACUGCUUUUGUAUGGGGAUAAAGUUAGGGACGUGUCCCUAUUUGCAGGUACCAUACGAAUAAGGACCGGCUAAUUCCGUG